This is a small nucleolar RNA of Mastomys coucha (southern multimammate mouse), 142 nucleotides long. RefSeq annotates it as small nucleolar RNA SNORA48. The transcript has a single exon. The record is from RefSeq and is a predicted model, not a curated record. Lineage: Eukaryota; Metazoa; Chordata; Mammalia; Rodentia; Muridae.
UGCCCUGGUAAUGGGCAAAGAGACACCUUGUUGGUGGUGCUGUUCUUAUACCAGCCAGGGGCAGAGCAGGUGGCAUCCUUUGUUCAUCCUAGCUUGAUGCCUGGCCGGGUGGCUAAAGCUGCCUUCUACCUAGGCCUCAGAA